Molecule: ribosomal RNA, 128 nt
Filed under: uncultured eukaryote
Lineage: Eukaryota
Description: partial small subunit ribosomal RNA
Rfam family: Eukaryotic small subunit ribosomal RNA
Source: RNAcentral
CCCUGCCAUUUGUACACACCGCCCGUCGCUUCUACCGAUGAAUGAUCCGGUGAACAUUUUGGACUUGGUGUCUAUUAGGUUAACGCCUCAGACAUCCGAGAAAGUUAUGUAAACCUUAUCAUUUAGAG